GCAAGUCUUUGCGCAUGAGACAAGGAAAAGAGAAAAAGAACUGCAGUGUGCUUGCCACAUUCCAAAUUGUUGGUUACGGACUUUUCAUGUUGUACCUAUUCAGAACUGGUGGCCUUGCCUGAGUGUCAGCAUUUGCUUUAUGGCUUCGUCUCAAAGCUGGAGAAAGUCAUCCUCCUUUCCUCUCCAGUUUCUGCUCCUGACCUCCAUCACCGAAGGCCAGCCCUGCACCCAGCACACUCCGCUUCCAGCCACUGUGGAAUUUCUCACCCUGGCACCACAUGCCCAGCUGUGCUCAUGGAAGUGGAAAAUCUGACAGCAUUGUCUGAAAGACACAGCUUGGGAUAAUUGUUCCUCGUAGUUCCUCUGUCAGUGAACAUUAUCAUAUUCCUCUCACAGGAAGGCUACUAAACCUUUCAUAUUCCUCAGCUCCCAGCCACAGAACUCCUCUUUGCCUUUAAAGUAGUAGUUAUAUAUGCUGGGAAGUGAGAAAAGGUUUUAAAAUUUUGUGCAGAUUAGAGAUAAAACGCCCAUAAUAGUAUUUGCUUUAAUAAUUUCCUUGUAUGGCAUAAACAAGGGAAAAGGAAGAAAAGGAAGCAAAAAGUACCUACAUUUAUGUAACAUAGGAUGGAUGUCCUUCAUGCCUGUAACAUUCUUAUUUUAGAAAUAGAAUAUAUAGAUUUCCCUUGUUUUAAUGCAGGACAGAAAACCUCCAAUACUUUCACUGUGUAAAUUUUGAAAGAAAUGCAGAAGGAAAAGCUAUGAGCAGCUUGCAGCCAGGUACACAAGUGGCACAGAUCCUUACAAAAGGAAGCAUUUCCCAGCACAGAUCCCUGCUUUGUACCUUCAGUUUGAUUAAUCCCAUUCAUCUUAUCAAACCUUGGUAUCUCUAUCAACCUCUUGGAAGGCCACUGUCACCAUUAUGUCACAGCUUCACUUGAGCUACAAUGCCUCUUCGCCCAGCCUCCCUGGGAGGCAGAAAGAGCUGUUAUGCCCAAACUGGCUUCCCCAGGGUAAGCCGGGAGAGCUGUGGCAAAGCAAGGGUAAGAGCCCAGGGCUUACGUGUUUCAGGUUGGUAUCUGACAACGUAACCCUCCAGUUUCUCUCUCAAACUGCAUUCUGCAAGUUGAUAUUCAUUUUCUUUAAAAGGACACAGAACUGAAAAAAAAGAUCUCAAUGAAAAUCCUACUCACUCCUGUAAGACGAACGCUGCACUUUCUAACAUCCCCUCAUGAUUUUCGUCCCCUUCUUCCUCUUCCCUCUACUCUAACCAGUAAUGUUGCAAAAAAAAAAGGUGAUGGCCUUCCUUUAGAAAGCUAGCCAACACAUAAACGUUAAUAUCACUGGAGACUGUCAAACCCAAAGUCAUGGCUGGAAGGAUAUUCUCCCUGCUGCUUCUUUCAAUUUCUUUUGCUACAGGUAAGGGUGCAGUUGUUAUUCAGAGGAGAAUAAACAACAUUCCUACAUUACCCUGAGAACUUGAAUGACAGUUUCUCUGAGCAAUUUUCCACCCUCAUAUUUGUGCACACUGCUGUAAUGGCAAGCCUCGUGCUGAUCUCAUCUUAACACUUUUAGGUGAAAGCUUAUGUUAAUAGAGCAAAUUAAGCUAGGGAUUUUCAUGCCACCUUGGGCUGGUUUCAGGCCAGGCUUGAUUUCCCAUUUUCAGAUGAAAUGGAGAUUAGUCAAAAUCAGAGUCCACUAAUCAAAGCCACCGCAGUAUUAAACAGGAACCUCUAAGUACCUUUGGUGAUCCAAAAAAAAUAUAAAUAGCCGAUGCCCAGGUGCAGAGAGCAACGCUGCUGGUAACAUAAGUGAUAUUAUUUCUUUUGAUGAAGUGAAGCAAUAUCCACAGUCUUCAUCUCUUUCAGUAGCACAAAGAAGUAUUCCCUCCACUCGUCUCUACAUAGAAGUAGGGCAUAGCCUAGCUAUUCACAUACCAGUACGUUUCUUCCAAGAAUUAGUCAUGAUGUGAGGUGAUUAAGAGAUACCUUAAAGACUGCAACAGUGCACUGAAAACGUAGGCACACAAAAUCCCUAGACAUUUUAUGAAAUUCAGGCCAAUAUAUAUAUAAAAUUUAUGCAUGCAUAAUGCAUGUAUCUAGUGCAAUGGAUGUCUUUUUCUAUAUAUUUUGUAUGUUAUGAAUUUAAAGAAAUAAAAAAACAUGAAGUAAAUACAAAUACAUGCACACACAGAGAAAAUUAUGUGGGCCUUUCUAGCAUGAAAAGGAAAUUAUUAAAAGUUGGAUAAACAACAACUGAGGAUAUGACAGGGGCAGCUGGAGAACCACACUGGGGGACAGAACUUCUAAGUGAAUCCACACAAAAAAAUGCCUCCCCUGACAAUCCGUUGUUCUUCAAAGAGAAUAAUGAUUCUAGAGAUGAGUUUGCAUUUGUCUUUGGAUGUCACAAUAAAUGCUAAGAAAGCAACUGAAUGAGAGUUAUUAUUUCCUCUGAGCAAAGAAGGAUUUGGGUAGGCUGUCAGAACAGCAGCACCAGCGAUCCGAGGGCAGAUACAAAGCAACGGUAAGUUGGUAGGAAUCUGUCCAGGGCCCUGGGAAAGGAAGAUGAAAGAGGCCUAUAGGGCUAGUUGGAGAUCUAAUAAAGGUAGCUGUAAGAACCGCAACUGCAAGGCAGCUGUUAAAUCAUGAGGGAGAGGGACGUAGGAGCAUUGUUUGAGAAAGAGAUCACAGGAGGCAUAAUUCCUCUGAUUUGGUGACCGCCAGAACACAAACCUCUGGGAGUCAGUGGAGAACGUGUUCUACUGAGAUCCAGGCCAUUUGCUGGAAUAAUUCAGCUGGUCUAGGGGUACUGGAGACUGUAUCCACGUCCCUACCUCAUCCACACACUUGCCACCCUGGGAGAGUGAGCGCAGCAUGAAGCACUGGUAACCCCUUUGUGUUCAAGAGUCUUAGCAGUGAUAUUAUGGGCUAUCUAAUCCUCUCUCUCUAAAUGAGUGUGCUGGGCAGAACAUAAAUCCAGCCCUACCUCUGAGAAACAAGAUGCUUUUCCAACUGGCCUGAUUGAGUACUUGGCCUGAUGAUGACUUUCACAGUCAGAUGUGCAAUCUGCCCUCUGGCUCCUUGUUGGUUUGGACUCAUUGCCUAAUCUCUAAUACCCGACUGCAAGAGAUAGAGAUUCCUGUUUGACUUUAUAAGACAAUAUGUCACAGACGAUAGGUAAGCUGUGUCUUUGCACCUGAUGUUUCCACAACAGAUCCUUUCCACAGUGCACUCUUCCUUGCAGUAUGGAAAAUGACAACUGUAAAGGACACAAGAAGUAACCUUUAAAACUGCUGUACAGAAGCAGAAAAAAAAAUCAGAAAUUGACCCAAGAAAACAGGGUGCAUGCUAUCCCACUUGGAUUGGCUGCUUUGGGGUGUUAACAUCGCAAUUCAGUGGUACUGUUUCAUUAUUUGCUAACCUCUAUAGCAAAUCUGAAUGUCUUUGUUUAAGAAGAACGGUCUAAAAUGGAUUAUGGGCUGCAUUAUGAAAGCAUAAAAACAUUUAUAAAAUCCACACCCCUGCCCUCCACGCCCAUGCUGUUCUAUCAAAAUAUACAGAAGAAAAUAUUUACAAGGUAUAAUCUUCUCAGUUAGGCUUAAUUUCCUGUAUAUAUUUUAAAUGCAAUUUCUCAAGAGCAUACACAUAAGGAAAUCCAAGAAGUGGGAGGGGUCCACACAGACCUUUGCUCCAAAGUUUAGAUGAGAGCCAUAUUAUUUUCUUAUGCACCAGUUUUGGUCUUUCAGUUUGCCCCAUGACAACAGGAAGAAGAUAGGAAAUGAAGUUCAGACUAAAGCUGAAUGAAGGAAAACCCCAGUAGAGCGCAGCUUUUUCUGUAUACGAAGUUGCUAACAAUUAAGGGGAAUUCUGAAUCACAGUUUAAUUUGGCAUUUUCAGAGCUAGGAUUACUUCAUUUCAAAGACUGAGCUAAGUCUGCAAAUUUCAAAGUAUCUAGCACGCUAUAAAAAACAAGAAAAUGGAGCAAUCACCAGAAGAAAGAGUCAAGUGCUUAAACUAGGACAAAGUAAUAACUGACACGGAACUGGGACUUUCCCCAUUUUCACUCUCACAAUCCUGUGGUAAACCAUUUCACUUUGUCUUUGGUUUAAUUUAGGAAAAAAAAUAUUGAAAACUCUCAUGCUUGGAAUGAGUAUAUAUUAAUCUUUUGUUCUGAGUAAUAAGGUGCAAAGAAAUGUAGUCCUGGCAGGAUACUAAUUUCUGAUGUUGUCAAUUAAAAAACUUCUGCUGGUGUUUUGAAUGGAAAAAUCUCUCAGAAAGUGUUUUUAUCGAAGCACCCAGUUCCAAGUCCUGGAUUAUUAGGUUAAGCUCCAUCAGCAGAGAGACCAAUAUAAAUGCUUUUCAUACCAUCU
This is a long non-coding RNA of Anas platyrhynchos (mallard), 4366 nucleotides long. RefSeq lists it as uncharacterized. The record is from RefSeq and is a predicted model, not a curated record. Lineage: Eukaryota; Metazoa; Chordata; Aves; Anseriformes; Anatidae.